This 3586-nucleotide long non-coding RNA is filed under the name Sus scrofa (pig). RNAcentral describes it as "lncRNA (ENSSSCG00000061038.1)". The record is from RNAcentral. Lineage: Eukaryota; Metazoa; Chordata; Mammalia; Artiodactyla; Suidae.
AAAGUCUGAGAUCCAGAUGCCAGCAGAUUAGGUAUAUGUUGAGGCUCCGCUUCCUGGUGUGCUGAUGGCUGUCUUUUCAUUGUGUCCUCAUAUGGCUAGGAAAGAAACCAUCUCUCUUGUGUCUUUUCUUACAAAGGCACUAAUUCCAUUCAUGAGGGUUCCACCCUUAUAGCCUAUUUGCCUCCCAAAUUUCCCACCUCCAAAUACCAUCACAUUGGGAUUAGAGCUUCAACAGAUGAAUUUUGAGGGACACAUACAUUUAGUACCUAGCACAGUUUUCUGAGCAUGAUCAGGUUUCUAGCAAAUGUUUGAUGGCAAAACAUGAAAAUGUUAAUCUGAGUAGAGAUUAAUACAUAGCAAAUGUGGUUUAUUCUUCACUAAAUUCUCAUUUCAUCCACACAUUGGGGGAUGUUCCAUUAAGGAAAAUUAGAGUGAAUCAGAACCGAUCUACUAGGUACUUAGUUUGCAGGCUUAAGUUUUUCAAUUGUGAUUUUAUACCUUAAAAUUUGAACCGAGACUAAAUAAAGCAAAACAACAACAAAAAAACAUUUUCUAAAUCCUUCCAUCACUUUAGAAAUAUAUGGUUUUGAAAAUGCUGUAAAUUAAAUAGUGCACAUGGUAAUGCUACAUUUUUUAAAAAUGUUUAUCUUUUUGUUGACGUUUUGGUCCCAAUUUAAGUGUACCUCAUUUAGGAGGUAGAAAUCUCUCUGGAGGCAAGGGAUUGACAGUAUGGCAGGGAGAGAUGUGAAGGGAAUCCUGUUCAGCAGAACAAAUGCCAGGAGACAUUUAUAGUCUGUAACAGUAGCCUGGGACUCAGACAGCUUUAUUGAUGUGUCAUCAGGCUGAGGAGAGAAGGCACCGCAGCAGGGUGACAAGGACAUGUUCUGUGUGUUCAUCGAUCUGCAGUCUCCCAUGGAAAACUCCACAUAUUUCUGAAUGUCUUGAGCAGUUUUAUUGAUGCAGCUCCUGCCAGCGGAGUGGGGAAUUGGAGUCACCACGUUGAUUUUUCAUGUCAUGUUGGCACUGUUCUUUAAGAACUUAAUAUGCUCAUUGGUGUAGGAAAGGGGGGAGGAUAUUGAAUAUCUCAUCAAAUUAUUUUGGGUGGGUUGCAAGAAAAUUGCAAAACCCCAGAGAGUCAAAAGAGUAUGAAAUCUGCCUGAAGUAUAAUGUACAUGGCUGCUAUUUAGAAUUUCUACAGUCCUCUGCUACUGAAAUCCUCCAUUGCAGCAAGUGAUGAAUCUUGACUGGGGGAACCAGUCACUGGAGCUAAACUGUCAUCUAAGAAGAUGAUACAAAAAGCUGAUAGAACUUUAAUACAUGUCUAGUUUGUGAGUGGGUAUAUUCAUGGGGCAGACUGAAUUAGAGCUUGUCAGUUAAUCAUAAAGCCAUAAGCCUAAGAAGGACAUUGAAAGGUUAUGCAAUCCAUUUGCCUGUCUUAUAUAAAGAACAAAACAAAACAAAAAAAUCCCAUAGACCUCUUCAGGGCAGUCAUUUUGAGAUAUGAAUUUCAAUUUUAAAUUCACAAAUGGCAUGUGCUUAUCAUUCUUUUUAUCAUUAAAUAUUAAAUUCAUAAUUAGUUUCUCAAGAAAACAAUCAAUUCUGAAACUCUUAUUCUGUAAUGUACCUGAUUAUGAAUUUAUCAGUUAUUUGAACCAACCUACUGCUGUCUACCUAGGAAUGAUGCUGGGGAUAAUGUUCUAAAAACCUUUAUCAUAGUUUAAUAGGAAAAAAGACAGUCUUUACUCAGGUUAUUUGGGGAGCUCAAAGGAACAGCUACCUAAAUCCGGGGCUGUGGUUGAGGGGAGUAUGAGAAGCCUUAAUGAGGGCUUCUUGGAGUUGAAUAAUUGCAGGCUUGAUAUCACUAUAUAUUCCACAACUAAUGUGUCUCUGUAAAUUUUUAAAAUCAUUGGUCAUAGUGGAACAGCCCUCAUUUUCAUUUAGAAUGUUUUCUUCUGCCUCAGAUCCGCCUCUCACUCUUUGCUCUUUCUUAGGCAUCUCACGCUGUUAUAGUUUAUAAAAAUACAGAGACAGAGAUAGGGAUGGAUAGAGAGAUAGAAAGAGAAUCUUUGGUCUUUUGCCCAUUUCUAGAUAUCACUCAUACCUUUCUUUCAUCACUAAGUUUUCAGAAAUAAUUAUCCACACUUAACCCAUUGCUGUCUGCUUACAGGCUCUACUGCUCCUUUGAUGUAGGUCCAACAAAGAUUACUUUGGGACUCCAGGGAGCUUUUGAAUCCUAUCUCAUUUGACCCCUUUGCAUCCUAGAGCAUCCUUGACUACUCUACCUCAGGAAACUUUCUCUGCCUUUGGCUUCUAAAGCACCUCUCUCCUCUCCUCCUGCUGUGCCCUUUACUGUCUCUUUUAGCUUCCCUUCUCUUGACUUGCAUCACAGGGGAUGGUGAUCCCCGUGAUUCCACUUUUAUCCCCAUUUCACAUCUCUCUCUUUUUACUUUUCACGGGAUAUACUCUCAUUUAUUGACUUUCUCAACUUCCAGUUCUUCAGCUAGCCUUAAUAGUCUGGGAAGUCACACAUCUCUAGCUCCCACUCAGGGGUCUUUGCAGAGCCAAGGCUUAACACCAAUUCUACAUUGCAUGGCUUUACUUGUAUGCACAUCAAGCCUGUGUAACUCAGAGAAUCCAAAGGUAAUUUUCUCAUGCCUCCUCUGGCCAACCCUUUCUCCUAUGUUUCCUGUCUCUCCGUGGAAUGACACCAUCAAUCACAUUCUGUUUGUCAAACUUCACUAUUUCUUGACCUUCAUGAAUCCCACUAUUUCUUGACCUUCAUGAAUGCCACUAUUUCUUGACCUUCAUGAAUCCCACCACAUUCCUUUUGGUUUUACCUCUUUUAUAUUCACCUGCUAUUAAAAAGCAGUGACUAUUUCUAAAGCCUUGACAAUUUUUUUCUCAUUAGUCUCAAAAAAAGCACUUUGACAUCUGAACUCAAAGCUAGAAUCUCAGAGUAUUGCUAGACUAGGACUACGUCUGGUGCAAAGGCAGAGAAGAUUAGGGUCCACGAUCAGCAAAUUUUAGAGUAGGUGAUGAUUUUAUCCAGCCUCAUCAUUCAGUCACUCUUCUUUCUAGCCUCCAGGAUGAUUCUGAUGCCAAAUGGCAUAAGGAAAACAGAUUUCACUUAUCCCCCCAAAUUCUUUUAUUUUAUCAUUAAAAACAGCACUGUCUGCAUUUCUAAAAGAAUACUUCAGAGUCAUAGACACAAAGACUACUGUUCCUCCUGUGGGAACCUCAAGAACUGUGGAAUUAAGUCAUGAAUUAAUUUGCAAAGUUGAGUUUUUCAGACUUUCUUGUAUCCUGUUCCAAGAUAAUUAGUAUUCAUAGAAAAGUCAACCUUGAUUUGAUUAAGGCAGUGUGCUUUGGACAGGAGAUCCAGUAUGCUGUACAAAUCAUAGUGAAGGAGGAAGGAGAUUACUCCAAGAUGAAUUUGAUGUUAUAGGCUGGUUUAGGUUGAUGGAAAGGUCCUGUAGACCAAGCAAUGGUUUCGCAUUUGUUUGAAAGGCGAUGGGACGCUUCUUAAGCUUUUUUAGUUGGGAUGCAAUUUAAUUCUAUCAUCUGUGAAUCUUGGUUUCAUAUAAGC